RNAcentral lists this microRNA precursor (89 nucleotides) under Canis lupus familiaris (dog). RNAcentral describes it as "mir-8799 microRNA precursor family". It matches the Rfam family "mir-8799 microRNA precursor family". The record is from Rfam by way of RNAcentral. Lineage: Eukaryota; Metazoa; Chordata; Mammalia; Carnivora; Canidae. RNAcentral also lists the same sequence under 1 other name.
GGGAGCUCCGGCUCUUGGGCUGUGUCUCCGGCGCCCUGGGCUCCCGGAACUGCACUGCUGGAAUCGCGCUCCCGGGCCGCGCAGCUCCC